AGCUAGCUGAGGAGUCCCAAAUAGGACGAAAUGCGCAUCCUGGAU
This 45-nucleotide non-coding RNA is filed under the name Trichobilharzia regenti. The record is from RNAcentral. Lineage: Eukaryota; Metazoa; Platyhelminthes; Trematoda; Strigeidida; Schistosomatidae.